GGUACAUCUCCUGAAAUUCAUUAUCUUCAGGGAAAUCACUCUGACCGCUCUUUUUCUGCAGCAUGAACUGCUGAACAAGUUCAUGUACUGUGUCAACAUCAUAUGCCAUAGUUUCAUUAGCUGGUGCCCGAAGAAGGAGGUCAGCUACCGAUGCCUCAUCAAGCUGCUGGCUAAUCCUCCUCUUCAGUUCACUUUGUGCUGUCUCUCCACAUUCCAAAGAAACAGAAGUCUGUAACAAUCUGAUCAAGAAACUACAUGAAACACUAUGUUUCUCUGUGGGCAACAGAGAAGUAAUCAUAUCAACCAAGUACUGAUACUUAACAGGAUCACUUCCUGGGAUUUUACCCUUGCUGAAUCCCGGUAGCCUUCUAUAGGCAUAUGCUCUCAAUGCCUCACCAAUUACUUCUGGAGACAUUCCUCCCUUUGUUUUUAUUGUUGUUAUUACCCGUUUAUACAAGUCAAUAUGAAGUUCAGAAAGGUCCUCAACCCACCAGUCUCGUGGAACAUACUGCUGCUUUUGCACACCAUUCCAUAGCGGAUCACUUCCAUUUUCUGAUGGGAGCUUUUUGCGGUUAUAUGUAUACGACCAGUCCACCUUUAAGGUGUCAAUGUAAGCUUUAGAUGCAACAGAAUCCAGACAAUGACUAACGAUCUUUAAUUCCUCAGACCAGGGAAGAAAAGCUUUUGUUGUUUGGAGAACAAUGAUUGAAUCUUUCCAGCUCCGGAAGAUGCUAGAUUUAAGAAAAACCUCAAGCUUGUAGAUAAUGUUACCUU
Molecule: unclassified non-coding RNA, 774 nt
Filed under: Hevea brasiliensis (rubber tree)
Lineage: Eukaryota; Viridiplantae; Streptophyta; Magnoliopsida; Malpighiales; Euphorbiaceae
Source: RNAcentral